CAUUAUUAGUGGUAUCUUAGCC
RNAcentral lists this non-coding RNA (22 nucleotides) under Arabidopsis thaliana (thale cress). The record is from RNAcentral. Lineage: Eukaryota; Viridiplantae; Streptophyta; Magnoliopsida; Brassicales; Brassicaceae.